AUACUUACCCUGAAAGGGAAGUAUAGUGAUCACAAAGGUAGUUUUCCUAGAGCGAAGUUCAUCCAUUGUGCUGCAUAUGUACUGAUCUUUCAGUUUUUCCCAAAUGUGAAAAAUUCAACUGCAUAAUUUAUGGCAGUUGGAGACUGUUUGCCUUCUCCCC
Molecule: small nuclear RNA, 160 nt
Organism: Cavia aperea (Brazilian guinea pig)
Lineage: Eukaryota; Metazoa; Chordata; Mammalia; Rodentia; Caviidae
Gene: U1
Rfam family: U1 spliceosomal RNA
About the family: U1 is a small nuclear RNA (snRNA) component of the spliceosome (involved in pre-mRNA splicing). Its 5' end forms complementary base pairs with the 5' splice junction, thus defining the 5' donor site of an intron.
Source: Ensembl